UCAGUAAAUGAGAAAGAUCACAACUGUUGUCUGCCCAGCCCUGGGGCAGUGUGAGACAAAACAAGAAAGAUAUUCUUUUAGCAAUUGCUUCCCAUGUCAAUGCACAUAAAGGAGUUUUCAUUUAGUUUGUUGGAGAACAGCAUCUUCUGCCGAGAGGAAACUAAUGCAGAAAAGGAAAUGCACUAGAAGCUAGAUUUGUUAAUAGCAUUUUCGGACCCAUUAUGAAAUAUUUCAAAUUUGGUAGCUUGUCAGAAGAGUUUACGUCAGCAUUUUGAAGGAGGAUAAUGAGAUUGCUUGAAGUCACCAGAGGUGCUCCCAGGAGAUGAAGGCUAGAAAAAAGAACAAAAGUGAAAAUCAAUC
Parus major (Great Tit) is the source of this 360-nucleotide long non-coding RNA. RefSeq lists it as uncharacterized. The record is from RefSeq and is a predicted model, not a curated record. NCBI's taxonomy places the organism in Eukaryota, Metazoa, Chordata, Aves, Passeriformes, Paridae. The transcript has 3 exons.